This 367-nucleotide ribosomal RNA is filed under the name uncultured organism. Its description in RNAcentral is "bacterial SSU rRNA". It matches the Rfam family "Bacterial small subunit ribosomal RNA", at positions 527 to 896 of the family's 1533-position model. The record is from RNAcentral.
CGGAGGUGCAAGCGUUAUCCGGAUUCACUGGGUUUAAAGGGUGCGUAGGCGGGUAAGUAAGUCCGUGGUGAAAUCUCUGAGCUUAACUCAGAAACUGCCGUGGAUACUAUUUGCCUUGAAUAUUGUGGAGGUGAGCGGAAUAUGUCAUGUAGCGGUGAAAUGCUUAGAUAUGACAUAGAACACCAAUUGCGAAGGCAGCUCACUACACAAUCAUUGACGCUGAGGCACGAAAGCGUGGGGAUCAAACAGGAUUAGAUACCCUGGUAGUCCACGCCCUAAACGAUGAUUACUCGACAUCAGCGAUACACUGUUGGUGUCUGAGCGAAAGCAUUAAGUAAUCCACCUGGGAAGUACGAUCGCAAGAUUG